AUCACCCAGUGAGAAGCUUCCUUUCAGCCAUGAGUCUGCACUGGAGAGUGGAGCUCUGACUACAACCGCAGGAAAAGCAGGGACCCGGACAGAGGUGGCCUAGCAUGCAGAAGCUUUGAGCAGGAAGAGGUGACUGCUUCCUACAGCAACUGGAGUUCUGAGCCCUCUUCAUGGUGCUGGAAUAUCAAGGAGCAUCUAACAAACCCAAGCCCCUUACCUGGUACAACGGUGACAACUUAGAUCACCCUGUGGAAAGAUAAAGAUGUUCCAGGUGAAUCACAAACAGCAUCUAUGUGAUGGACAAAUCUUUAAAUACAGGCCACCAAACAGCCAUCGGGCAGUAAAAGCUUUCAUAACCUGAAGGAGAACAUUUCAAUAAUGCUGAAGUGGGAAUAAUGAAGCCCCUACAGGCAAUCUGUUCGCUCCAGUGGUCCUGCUGCAGAAAAAAUCCUGUUC
Mauremys mutica (yellowpond turtle) is the source of this 456-nucleotide long non-coding RNA. RefSeq lists it as uncharacterized. NCBI's taxonomy places the organism in Eukaryota, Metazoa, Chordata, Testudines, Geoemydidae. The record is from RefSeq and is a predicted model, not a curated record. The transcript has 3 exons.